This 125-nucleotide small RNA is filed under the name Marmota monax (woodchuck). Lineage: Eukaryota; Metazoa; Chordata; Mammalia; Rodentia; Sciuridae. The record is from RNAcentral.
GCUGGGCCUGGUGGCGCACACCUGUAAUCCCAACAGCUCAGGAGGCUAAGGCAGGAGGAUCACAAAUUCAAAGCCAGCCUCAGUAAAAAUAAGGCACUAAGCAACUCAGUGAGACCCUGUCUCUA